Molecule: long non-coding RNA, 420 nt
Organism: Chenopodium quinoa (quinoa)
Lineage: Eukaryota; Viridiplantae; Streptophyta; Magnoliopsida; Caryophyllales; Amaranthaceae
Exons: 2
Source: RefSeq, a predicted model, not a curated record
AGCAAAAUGCAAGGCCAAAAUGAAGAAAAAUUAGAAGGAGGAGUUACUAAUAUACAAGAAGAAGAAAUUACUUAUGUAAGAAAAAGGAAAGUUGAAAACGUUGAAGCGGAAGUAAUCGAUAAAUCGGAAUUUGAGAAGCAUAUUGCAAGUAAAAGUGUUGCUAUAAGACAUAGAAAACUUCCAACAAGGCUUCAACCACCUCGAAAAUUGCAAAAAAAAGGAAGGAGGAGAAAAAGAUCAAGAAGAAGGAAAAGAUCAAAAAGAAGAAGAGGGUAAUAAUGUUGAGGAUGAUGACGAGAAUAAUGAUAGUGAAGAUGAUGGUGAGGAGGAUAAUAAGGGUGAUGUAAAGAUGAAAGAGAAAGAUGAAAAAGAGGAGAUGGAAGAUGAUAGUGAGGAGGAACAAAAAAUCAAUAAAAAAAA